RNAcentral lists this ribosomal RNA (253 nucleotides) under uncultured bacterium. Its description in RNAcentral is "partial 16S ribosomal RNA". It matches the Rfam family "Bacterial small subunit ribosomal RNA", at positions 524 to 776 of the family's 1533-position model. The record is from RNAcentral.
UACGUAGGAGGCGAGCGUUGUCCGGAUUUACUGGGCGUAAAGAGCGCGCAGGCGGCACGCUAAGUACACCGUGAAAUCUCCCUGCUCAACGGGGAGGGAGCGAUGUAGACUGGCGAGCUAGAGUGCGGGAGAGGAGAGUGGAAUUCCUGGUGUAGCGGUGAAAUGCGCAGAUAUCAGGAAGAACACCCGUGGCGAAGGCGGCUCUCUGGAACGCAACUGACGCUGAGACGCGAAAGCGUGGGGAGCAAACAGG